UGGAUCAGGGAUGGUAACUGCCGGCGUCCGAGUCACGGAUGAUGGGUGAUACGUGUCUGGAACUCUGAGGUCCAG
Molecule: small nucleolar RNA, 75 nt
Organism: Mustela erminea (ermine)
Lineage: Eukaryota; Metazoa; Chordata; Mammalia; Carnivora; Mustelidae
Product: small nucleolar RNA SNORD113/SNORD114 family
Exons: 1
Source: RefSeq, a predicted model, not a curated record